RNAcentral lists this ribosomal RNA (486 nucleotides) under uncultured bacterium. Its description in RNAcentral is "partial 16S ribosomal RNA". It matches the Rfam family "Bacterial small subunit ribosomal RNA", at positions 29 to 507 of the family's 1533-position model. The record is from RNAcentral.
AUUGAACGCUGGCGGCAUGCCUUACACAUGCAAGUCGAACGGCAGCACGGGUGCUUGCACCUGGUGGCGAGUGGCGAACGGGUGAGUAAUACAUCGGAACAUGUCCUGUAGUGGGGGAUAGCCCGGCGAAAGCCGGAUUAAUACCGCAUACGAUCUACGGAUGAAAGCGGGGGACCUUCGGGCCUCGCGCUAUAGGGUUGGCCGAUGGCUGAUUAGCUAGUUGGUGGGGUAAAGGCCUACCAAGGCGACGAUCAGUAGCUGGUCGGAGAGGAGGACCAGCCACACUGGAAAGGAGAAAAGGGCAAGACUCCUAAGGGAGGCAGCAGGAGGGAAUUUUGAGCAACGGGUGAAAGACAGACGGAGCAAUGCCGAGUGAGUGAAGAAGGCAGUCGGAGAGUAAAAAAAUUUUGUGAGGGAAGAAAAACAGGAGAAGGAAAAAGGCCUGGAGUGAAGGUACCGAAUAAGAAAGCACGGGAUAACUACGUG